RNAcentral lists this ribosomal RNA (477 nucleotides) under uncultured Candidatus Scalindua sp. RNAcentral's name for it is "bacterial SSU rRNA". It matches the Rfam family "Bacterial small subunit ribosomal RNA", at positions 365 to 832 of the family's 1533-position model. The record is from RNAcentral. Lineage: Bacteria; Pseudomonadati; Planctomycetota; Candidatus Brocadiia; Candidatus Brocadiales; Candidatus Scalinduaceae.
UUCGCAAUGCCCGAAAGGGUGACGAAGCGACGCCGCGUGAGUGAGGAAGGCCUUCGGGUUGUAAAGCUCUGUCAGGAGUUAAGAAAUAUAAGUGUGCUAAUACCACAUUUAUUUGACAAAGGCUCCAAAGGAAGCCACGGCUAACUCUGUGCCAGCAGCCGCGGUAAUACAGAGGUGGCAAGCGUUGUCCGGAAUUAUUGGGCGUAAAGAGCACGUAGGUGGGUUUGUAAGUCAGAUGUGAAAGCCUUCUGUUCAACGGAAGAAUUGCAUCUGAAACUGCGAGUCUUGAGUGUAGGAGGGGAGAAUGGAACUUCUGGUGGAGCGGUGAAAUGCGUAGAUAUCAGAAGGAACGCCGGCGGCGAAAGCGAUUCCCUGGCCUAUUACUGACACUCAGUGUGCGAAAGCUAGGGGAGCAAACGGGAUUAGAUACCCCGGUAGUCCUAGCUGUAAACGAUGGGCACUAAGUAGAGGGGCAUU